GAUGAACGCUGGCGGCGCGCUUAAGACAUGCAAGUCGAACGAAGAGUUACGAUUAGUUUACUGAUUGUAAUUUCUUAGUGGCGGACGGGUGAGUAACACGUGAGCAACCUGCCUUCGAGAGGGGGACAACAGAGGGAAACUUCUGCUAAUACCGCAUGUGACCACAGUACCGCAUGGUACAGGGGUGAAAGGAGAAAUCCACUCGAAGAUGGGCUCGCGGCUGAUUAGCUAGUUGGUGAGGUAACGGCCCACCAAGGCGACGAUCAGUAGCCGAACUGAGAGGUUGAUCGGCCACAUUGGGACUGAGACACGGCCCAG
RNAcentral lists this ribosomal RNA (318 nucleotides) under uncultured bacterium. RNAcentral's name for it is "bacterial SSU rRNA". It matches the Rfam family "Bacterial small subunit ribosomal RNA", at positions 28 to 334 of the family's 1533-position model. The record is from RNAcentral.